CAGCUCGAGGUACCUUUGCUCUUGAUCUACCUAGCCCGGAGCUGGGGGAGGUCCUAUACUGCUGCCUGGCAACUCCACGUUCCCGAAGACUUUUGGGGGGAUGGGAAUAGGACCUCCAGGGCCGGCCUGAAGUGCCUGGUGGUGCAUCCUCUCUGCGCCUGGCUUCAGCCACUCCGCGCCGGCAAGUUGCAUGAGGGCCGGCUGCUGGAGCCGGCGUGGGGCACAGUAGGGGACCCGGCUGGUGGGUGGCUUUCGGCGGGGAGCGAGAGGUUUGCAUUGGCUGCUGUGCCCCGUGCGCUCUGGACACGUUCGCAGGGAAGGCGGCUGGGGGUGGAAGGGAGUCCCCGGGAGCCGGGCUGCCAGGUAAGAAGCGGUGACGCCGCUGCAGAGCAGAGGAGGAACAGGCGGCCGGGGGAACCCGGCAAGCACGGAGCUCGCCCCGGCUCCGUGCACUCCGAGCCCUCCUCUGGGCCGCCGCGGCAAGAAACCGGGCCGCUGCCUCCUGCAGCCCCCCUAGCCGCCCCCAGCAGGGCGCACAGCCGCCGGGAAAGGGCCCUGGCGCUUCCCGCACGGAGAGCCGAGCUGAGCGCGGCUGGGGCUGAGACGUGGCUUGGAGGUGCCAAGCGGACGGCAGGGGGCAUCGUGCGCGCCCCAGCCAGGCGCCCUGCGCCGCGCUCAGCGACCCGGGGGCUUGGCGCCUGGGCCUUGCUCCGCAGAGCGGAGUGCCCGGCUGGGCGGCGGAGACGAGCGAGGCUCAGUCAUCCAAAGGCCGGGGCUCGGGGAGUCCCGGAAGGCUGGUGGGUUGCGGGCGGGCUGGUGCGUUGGCGGUCGUCGGAGCUCUCGGGUUCCCCCGCUUGGCGCUCGCUCGUAAACACCGCCCGGGCUUGGGCUGCGCGGGGUCCGGGGAGCGGGGAGCGGGGCUGCCGGGGAGGAAAGCGGCGUGCUGCGGGACUCAGGCGCGGGCGGGAGAGAGCGAACGGAUGGAGACCGUCUCUCCAUCUGCCUUCGUUGCAGGUUUAA
RNAcentral lists this long non-coding RNA (1020 nucleotides) under Chrysemys picta bellii (western painted turtle). Its description in RNAcentral is "lncRNA (ENSCPBG00000007669.1)". Lineage: Eukaryota; Metazoa; Chordata; Testudines; Emydidae. The record is from RNAcentral.